This 492-nucleotide ribosomal RNA is filed under the name uncultured bacterium. RNAcentral describes it as "partial 16S ribosomal RNA". It matches the Rfam family "Bacterial small subunit ribosomal RNA", at positions 28 to 507 of the family's 1533-position model. The record is from RNAcentral.
GAUGAACGCUAGCUACAGGCUUAACACAUGCAAGUCGAGGGGCAGCGGUAUCGAAAGCUUGCUUUCGGUAGCCGGCGACCGGCGCACGGGUGAGUAACGCGUAUCGAACCUGCCUCAUACUCGGGAAUAGCCUUGCGAAAGUAAGAUUAAUGCCCGGUGUUUUCAGAGUCCCGCAUGAGGCUUUGAACAAAGAUUUAUCGGUAUGAGAUGGCGAUGCGUCCCAUUAGCUUGUUGGCGGGGUAACGGCCCACCAAGGCAUCGAUGGGUAGGGGUUCUGAGAGGAAGGUCCCCCACAUUGGAACUGAGACACGGUCCAAACUCCUACGGGAGGCAGCAGUGAGGAAUAUUGGUCAAUGGGCGGAAGCCUGAACCAGCCAAGUAGCGUGCAGGAAGACGGCCCUCCGGGUUGUAAACUUCUUUUAGUUGGGAAUAAAACGGGGCUCGUGAGCCCCCUUGCAUGUACCAUCAGAAAAAGGACCGGCUAAUUCCGUG